UAAAAGAUAGCCAUGGUGUCUUGAGCCAACUAUUAUCAUUAAUCCAGUUCUGCACAUCUGAGAGUUAUU
Molecule: small nucleolar RNA, 69 nt
Filed under: Tursiops truncatus (common bottlenose dolphin)
Lineage: Eukaryota; Metazoa; Chordata; Mammalia; Artiodactyla; Delphinidae
Description: Small nucleolar RNA SNORD112 (ENSTTRG00000024842.1)
Source: RNAcentral